UUAUUGUUUAUUUGAUACAACAAAUGGAUAACUGUAGAAAAACUAGAGCUAAUACAUGCUUUAAUCGUAAGAUUGUAUUUAUUAGAUAUUCUGAAUUGGUGAAUCAUAAUAACUUCGCAAAUCUCGUUUAUGACGAGAUAAAUCAUCCAAGUUUCUGCCCUAUCAUGCUUUCGAUGGUAGUGUAUUGGACUACCAUGGCUCUCACGGGUAACAGGGAAUUAGGGUUCGAUUCUGGAGAAGGAGCCUGAGAAACGGCUACUACAUCUACGGAAGGCAGCAGGCGCGUAAAUUACCCAAUCCUGACUCAGGGAGGUGGUGACAAGAUAUAACGACGCGGUUAUUAUCGCGAUUGUAGUGAGGGUAUUCUAAACAGAACCUAUAGUACGAUUAGAGGGCAAGUCUGGUGCCAGCAGCCGCGGUAAUUCCAGCUCUAAUAGCGUAUAUUAAAGUUGCUGCAGUUAAAAAGCUCGUAGUUGGAUUUCAAGGAUUGUAGAACCUCCACGGGGAUACAUCCUACUAGUCUUCGGACUGUUACUGUGAGAAAAUUAGAGUGUUUCAAGCAGGCUUUCGCAAGAAUACAUUAGCAUGGAAUAACGAAUGUAUUUAGAAUCUUGGUUAAUUCUAAAUUACGAUUAAUAGAGACAGUUGGGGGCAUUAGUAUUUAAUUGUCAGA
Molecule: ribosomal RNA, 673 nt
Filed under: Polyplastron multivesiculatum
Lineage: Eukaryota; Ciliophora; Litostomatea; Entodiniomorphida; Ophryoscolecidae
Description: SSU rRNA
Rfam family: Eukaryotic small subunit ribosomal RNA
Source: RNAcentral